AGUCCACUUUAGUAAGUCUAACUUAAAAUGAAAACUUGUUUAAGCAAAAGAAGCCAGCUAAGUUAAUUCAACAUAACACUGUUGAGUGAAUGGCACAAUCACCUCUAUACAAGAAUGUCCUAGAUGGGUUUCUGUAGCUAGCUAAUGAGCUAGCCAAUUAACAAACUGCCACCUGACAGACAUACAUUAAGAUAGCGAUUUAAUUCUAGAAUUGUAGUUUUGGGGAUCUCAGCAAAUGCAACAUUACAUUGCCAUAUAAUACAUUUCAAUAUUUGAUAACUAAAUGGGGGUGAUUUGCCUGACAGUCCUUGAAGAUGCAUGUAAAAGCUCAAUUACUAAUAAAUAACCAUUUUAUAUAAAACUAAUAAUGCUUUCUUUACCACACCCAGAGUUUGGUAUGUGUUGAAUGAUAUCACGUUGAUAUCACGUGAUGGUUGUCGUUUUCCAUUGGUAAUAUAAUAUUACAGAACCAAGGUAUGGCAUGGUGGCUUAGGUGCUUGCACUGCCACCUCACAGCAAGAAGGUCAUCGGUUCAAUUCCCGCAUGGGGAGCUGUUGGCUCUGGGGUGCUCAGGUGGGCUAUCUCCCGGGCCUUUCUGUGUGGAGUUUGCAUGUUCUCCCCGUGUUCACAAGGGGUUUCCUCCACUAAGAACCCCAACAGAAAAAACAUGC
Long non-coding RNA from Clupea harengus (Atlantic herring), 671 nucleotides. NCBI's taxonomy places the organism in Eukaryota, Metazoa, Chordata, Actinopteri, Clupeiformes, Clupeidae. The record is from Ensembl.